RNAcentral lists this ribosomal RNA (498 nucleotides) under uncultured bacterium. RNAcentral's name for it is "partial 16S ribosomal RNA". It matches the Rfam family "Bacterial small subunit ribosomal RNA", at positions 28 to 508 of the family's 1533-position model. The record is from RNAcentral.
GACGAACGCUGGCGGCGUGCCUAAUACAUGCAAGUUGAGCGAUGAAGAUUGGUGCUUGCACCAAUUUGAAGAGCAGCGAACGGGUGAGUAACGCGUGGGGAAUCUGCCUUUGAGCGGGGGACAACAUUUGGAAACGAAUGCUAAUACCGCAUAACAACUUUAAACAUAAGUUUUAAGUUUGAAAGAUGCAAUUGCAUCACUCAAAGAUGAUCCCGCGUUGUAUUAGCUAGUUGGUGAGGUAAAGGCUCACCAAGGCGAUGAUACAUAGCCGACCUGAGAGGGUGAUCGGCCACAUUGGGACUGAGGCACGGCCCAAACUCCUACGGGAGGCAGCAGUAGGGAAUCUUCGGCAAUGAACGAAAGUCUGACCGAGCAACGCCGCGUGAGUGAAGAAGGUUUUCGGAUCGUAAAACUCUGUUGGUAGAGAAGAACGUUGGUGAGAGUGGAAAGCUCAUCAAGUGACGGUAACUACCCAGAAAGGGACGGCUAACUACGUGC